Brienomyrus brachyistius is the source of this 2907-nucleotide long non-coding RNA. RefSeq lists it as uncharacterized. Lineage: Eukaryota; Metazoa; Chordata; Actinopteri; Osteoglossiformes; Mormyridae. The record is from RefSeq and is a predicted model, not a curated record. The transcript is spliced from 2 exons.
CCUGGGGCGGAAUCCCACAGCGCCUCGUGGUGCGCCUAACCCGUCCGGCUCCUGACGCCGGCUUUGUCACUAGAGAUUAGGACCAGCGGUGUGCAAUGGAUCUUAACAUAAAAAACUAUGUAAAGUACCAACUGCUGAUGCCUUCUUCCGGGCACCUCAGUUUGCCCCGUGGACAGCGAGACGGUACGUAGUGUUUCGGCGGUCGCGUACAAGGAAUGUAUUUUCAGUUAUACUGUAUAAAGGUUUGUAGCUUUGCUUUUGAUUACGUUUGUGAAUAAUUAUUCGUGUGUCGUUUAAUGUCGUUUUUGUUAAAAUGCAUUAUUUUGAUGGAUAGGUGACCGGGCUUUUUAUGUUCUCUGUUAGGGGUUACACACAGUCUUCUUCCUAUGUUCACGUGUUUUAAUAAUUGUUCCACCGAUCUGGGUAGAACAAUUAUUAAAACACGUGAACAUAGGGGUUACACACAGUCUUCUUCCUAACAGGAAGUUAGGAAGUGCUCCACACAAACACGAACGAGUGUUAUUUUUCAAUUACGUGUGGCUUGCCGUGAUCGUAUAGUGGUUAGUACUUUGCGUUGUGGCCGCAACAGCCCCGAUUCGAAUCCGAGUCACGGCAGAUGAUGUCUUAUAAAGCUAUUACUUUUCACACCACAUGUUUCAACUUACGUUUUUAAAUCUCUUUUUUUUAAUCAAUUUAGCUGUUUAUUUACUUGAAACCGUAGUAUUCAAAGUCGGAUAUUAAUCUGAAUGCUGAAACUCAUUUUCGGGUUAUUAAAAACAAGAACCCUGUAUCCAAUUAGGAGUACUUGCUUGUUUGUGAAGCUGAAUUAUACAGAGAUCUGCUUCAUUUUCUGUAUAUCUACUUAUAGGACGUUCGUCGGACGUUUUUCUUAAAAAAAAAAGAAAACUAAUAAAAUGACAUGACGUUAUUCUUGCUUCUGCAAUGAAUCCUCCAGAUAGUGGAGACGGCAGCGAAAUUGCAUCCAACAUGUUACACACAACAAUACAAUUUGUAAUAUAUAUUUAACUGUCAGUAAGUUUAAUGAUAUUGUCCUGCCAGAGUUUAAACACAGUGAGCACACCUGUGUAGCAGGCAUCUCCUGUCCUGCUGUCCUUCACAUCCUCCCUGCAUUGGUUUAAUGGUUGGGCCAACGCUGUGGAUACCAUGAUUAUUGUUAGCCUGUAUAGUGCUGAUUGCCAGCAGGCCGUCGUGUCACAAUGCACAAAGUAUGGUAUUCUCUCCAUCCAUCCAUUUUCCAAACUGCUUAUCCUACUGGGUCGCGGGGGGUCCCCGGAGCUUAUGCCAGAAUGGCACGUGGCAGGGAACAACCCAGGAUGGGGGGACAGCCCAUCGCAGGGCACACUCACUCCAUUCACUCACACAUGCACUCCUACGGGCAAUUUAGCAAGUCCAAUUAGCCUCAGCAUGUUUUUGGACUGUGAGGGGAAACUGGAGUACCUGGAGGAAACCCCAUGACGACAUGGGAAGAACAUGCAAACUCCACACACAUGUAACCCAGGCGGAAACUCGAACCCGGGACCCAGAGGUGUGAGGCAACAAUGCUAACCACUGCACCACAAUGCCGCCCCAAGUUUGGUAUUAUUUGUUUUAAAUAAAUAAAUAAAUAAAUAUAAAAGACAUGCAAUUGCAAGACACUGUCUCCAUAAACUUUAUUAUAUUAUCAGAACUUCAUUAGCAGCCGUUAUUGAUCCAGGAUUUUUUUCAUUCAGGGUCUAGUGAACGUUGAUCAAAUCAUUUUUUGAUGUUUUUACAGGAGAUUCUUCUGCUUUUUUCUGUUCAUCUGCUCGAUAAACGUGUUAUCUAACUGCUUAGGAUGAUGCUGCUAACGUAGCCUGUUUGCUGUUAUAAGAUCUUGUUAUAUUAUAAGAUCCCCUACGUAAAGUCGCCGACUUGAUACUAAGGAGAUCAUGUUUAAUUCUGAAGCUUGACUUUUAAAAAAAUUACAUCGCAAAACGAAUCAGAACCUCUGUCAAAAAAAAAAAAUCACAAUUAACCUUUCUGCUUCACAAACCAAAAAACAACACGGGCCAAGAAAAAUAGUUCAUGAGAGUUUAUUUAAUUGCAGUACGUUACAGGUCAGUACAUUUUGCCACAGUCACAUCCUGCUCAUUCCCAUCAGUGCGGUAAGGUGGCCAAGACAGGUCAACGAAGAGUUUUCUUGUCCGAGUUGCCCCUGUGACGCAAUUUCAACAUGGCGGCUUACACACUCUACAGGAAUUCUAUUUUAUAAAUCUUUAAAAAUGUUUAUUUUGUUAAAUGUAUGAAUAGUUAUAAAUGUAAUUGCACGUGUUAGAUUUAGAGAAUAAAAUAUCGUGACCGUAAACAGUAUCCUAGCAUGCAAUAUCAGUUUUUUACCAGACUUACUGUUUUUGAUUUGUUUGUAGUUUGUUUGCCUCUCGAAAAAAGAAUAUCGCUAUGAAUGUACUAAAAUAUUUUAUAAAUAUUUAACAGCAUUCCCAAUAUAAAGCAAUUGUAGGUUCAGGGCCCACUAGAGUUAGAUCAUUGCUGGCAUUCACAGGAUUCAAAUCAGCAACCUUCCGAUUGCUGGCACAGCUUGCUAGCCUCAGAGCUACCACAGUGAUUUACUGUAAAUGCAUUUAAUUUAGUAGCAGAACAAAUUCUUCAUUAUUCAUUAGCCAAUCACUUAAACAUAGUUGACGGUGGAGUCCGUGGGUGUGUGUAUGUAUGUAUGUGUCCUGCCCCGAUCGUCUGCUCCUCCUGCGUGUCACGCCCUCUCGCUGACCUAGUGUGGAUUCCCCGUGUUCACCAGCUGUUUCCGGUUACCGUCGUCAGUCCAAUGUAUUCAGUUUGUUUGCCCAUACAGGUCAUUGUAUUGUCUGUCUACGUUUUGGCUCGCUUUAUGCACCAUUAAAACCCGUAAUCCCA